This 395-nucleotide ribosomal RNA is filed under the name uncultured bacterium. RNAcentral's name for it is "bacterial SSU rRNA". It matches the Rfam family "Bacterial small subunit ribosomal RNA", at positions 371 to 764 of the family's 1533-position model. The record is from RNAcentral.
AUGGACGCAAGUCUGAACCAGCCAUGCCGCGUGAAGGAUGAAGGUCCUCUGGAUUGUAAACUUCUUUUAUCUGGGACGAAAACGGGAUUUUUAUCUCAAUUGACGGUACCAGAGGAAUAAGCACCGGCUACCUCCGUGCCAGCAGCCGCGGUAAUACGGAGGGUGCGAGCGUUAUCCGGAUUUACUGGGUUUAAAGGGUGCGUAGGUGGGCUUAUAAGUCAGUGGUGAAAUCUCCGAGCUUAACUUGGAAACUGCCGUUGAUACUAUAGGUCUUGAAUUAUCGGGAGGUAAGCGGAAUAUGUCAUGUAGCGGCGUAAUGCUUAGAUAUGACAUAGAACACCAAUUGCGAAGGCAGCUUACUACAUAUAAAUCGACGCUGAGGCACGAAAGCGUGG